Lepidothrix coronata (blue-crowned manakin) is the source of this 404-nucleotide long non-coding RNA. RefSeq lists it as uncharacterized. Lineage: Eukaryota; Metazoa; Chordata; Aves; Passeriformes; Pipridae. The transcript is spliced from 4 exons. The record is from RefSeq and is a predicted model, not a curated record.
AAGACCACCUUUGAAAAGCUUCUUCGCACAAUUCUGUUGACAUCAGCAGUAAUAAACCCACUGAUGAAGGCAGUUUAACAACAGUUGUGCAACACUGAACCAUGCAAAGGCACCAGGGCAGCUGGAUCAGUUAAGAAAAAGUCAAUGGUGGUGCAGAUGGUGAUGACAGCUCAUACAGAAAUGCUGCUAGAUUUCUAACCAUUGCCUCGAAACACUGAUUUCAGACUGCAGGGCUGUAAUGACAACAUAAAUGAAGCACAGGAAUGUCUGCCCUUCUGCUUCAGCACAGGGGGCAACACUGGUGAAAAAAAUUUGCUGGCAAGGUUGAAGAACUCAAAAUGAAACCUCUCUCCCAGCUCUGGAAUUCCCAUUGGUAGUAGCUGAUUCUGCAUAAAGAAUACAGG